UUGCUAAAGUUAGUUGAGCCUCAACCUCAAGAGGCACUCAACACAAAGGUGGGAGUAUUCCUAAUACUGAGCAUAAGAGGAGGCUAGCUUUGGAGUUAGGAAGAGACCCUACUAUGUUUGAACUAUUCAAGAGGACGCAUUUAAAUGAUAAAACCGGAAAAUUUGCGGAUCGGCAAGCAGAAUUAGCUCAUGAUGAGUUUAUAAGGAGAAAGGCAGAAUUAAG
This is a long non-coding RNA of Neltuma alba, 223 nucleotides long. RefSeq lists it as uncharacterized. Lineage: Eukaryota; Viridiplantae; Streptophyta; Magnoliopsida; Fabales; Fabaceae. The transcript has 3 exons. The record is from RefSeq and is a predicted model, not a curated record.